GAGGCUCUAUCACGUCAUCUUCUAGCUUCCAUAUGAUUCCUCUCCACUAGUCAUUCCUCUAGAAAAUCUCCAGCCGCUGCCCUCCAUCUGAUAUUUCUCAGCCGUCGUAUAUCUGUUGGCUAGCGCUCGGCUUCUUUCGCACACGCUCCUGCUGCCGGUACCCAGUCCUACGGCCCCUCCUCUCUCCACCUCGACUCGCCGGCGUUGCUCGGCUGCAGCUCGUCGGAGCUUCCUGUUCUCAGCGCGCCGACCUCCCUCUUCUCCUUCAUGUCCGGCCGCCGGUCUGGCCGAGGACCCUGGUCGUGGGGUCGCGUCCUCCUCCCUCGUCGCGGACCUGCCGUGUCCUGGGCGCCAUUCCAGCACUGCCAGGUUCCGCGCCAUCGUGCCUCUGGGUCCUCGCCGCGGUUCAGGCCGUCGAUGCCUGUUGCCCCGACGCUCCCUCACGCUCCUUUAUCAGCCUCGCCUAGACCUCCGCCUCCUCGUCGGACUGCACACACGCCGCCGCCAUUUCUUGCAGUUUCGUCGCGCCAUCCCCUCUGAUUUCCUUGUCCUCGUCGGCUUAAACUCCGUUGACGUACCCUGCAAGCAGGUUUGACGCCCUCUCAAUUAUUCUGCUCGUUUCACUAACCGAUGCCUGUGCCUUGAGGUUAACUAUGUGUAUGUGUGUAUGUAUCGAGAGAAAAUCUAAAUCAUGUAGAAUAGUGAAGUCCAGUUCGUCGCUCGCCGGUGCUCGAUAUAUUGCCUGAGUCGGAUUUGUCACCAUUUUCGCGAGUCCUGACUCGAUUUAGGUAUUGUGUAAGUUUAGAUUCGCUUGCAGUGAAGUUUAGUUCAAUCAGUUAGUCUUCGAAUAUUUGCGCAAUUAGAAAUAUUUUUUUUCCAUUAGUGAAAUAAAUCACACAAUGGAAGUAAUAAAAUGAAUAAUUUGUUGUAUCUGAUUUUGGGAUUGAAUGGAGUCCAUGGACCACAAUUCACAAGUUGAUCCUUGGCGUGUGCUUUAUGUAGCUAGAACUAUAAUUCACUUGAUGCUUCAUCUUCUCAUACGUAAGGUCUAAAACUCAUAAUCGUCGUCGGUUCCGCUGUAGUCGAGUCGAAUUGAUUAUGAUACUAUUAAAUCUUGGAGUUUCUCGCAGCUAAGCUUAAUUCAGUUUGGGUAUGGAUAGUUAGAUAACUAGUUUAAGUGUACUUAAUCACCUUUCUUUAAUAAAGUAAAUACUAGAUAAUUAAGAAAGAUUGGAUAAUGUUGAGUGAAGUCCAUGGAACGUCGACCUUGGUUAAUCCAUGGCACGCCUGUGAUGUUUGCCUGAAUGCAAGCUAGGAUGAGUUGCUUCUAAAUGAGUAACUCCAUUUUUACUCUAAAUUAGUAUGUUUAUCUAAUCAUCUUGUUAUAUGGUGGACUAGUAAGUACCUUAGGCAAUACUUUAUUAAUCUAUAAUGUACUAUUGGAGCUUAUAAAACUAGUUAAAUUACUCUUAACUUUAAUCUAAGUCUUAGGUGGCUAUCACUGGUGAAUCUAAGUUUUAGUAAUGUCGGGGACCAUAAUUAGGGGUACCCUCAAGACGCCUAAUUCUCAGCUGGUAACCUCCAUCAGCAUAAAGCUGCAAAGGCCUGAUGGGUGCGAUUAAGUCAGGGAUCAGUCCAUACGAGUGACUCGAUCACGCUUCACCCGAGCCUAGCCUCGGACUCGGGCAGCCGACCUCGAGGGACUUCCGUCUCGCCCGAGGCCCCCCUUUUAACGGCGGACACAUCUCCGGCUCGCCCGAGGCCUUGGCUUCGCUAAGAAGCAACCCUGACUAAAUCGCCGCACCGACUGACCGAGUUGCAGGGGCAUUUAACGCAAAGGUGGCCUGACACCUCUAUCCUGACGCACGCCCCCCGGCAGAGCCGAAGUGACCGCCGUCACUCCGCUGCUCCACUGACCGGUCUGACAGAAGGACAGCGCCGCCUGCGCCACUCCGACUGCGGUGCCACUCGACAGAGUGAGUCUGACAGGCAGUCAGGCCUCGCCAGGGGCGCCAUAGCGAACUCCGCUCCGCGCCGACCCCAGGGCUCGGACUCGGGCUAAGACCCGGAAGACGGCGAACUCCGCUCCGCCCGACCCCAGGGCUCGGACUCGGGCUAAGACCCGGAAGACGGCGAACUCCGCUCCGCCCGACCCCAGGGCUCGGACUCGGGCUAAGACCCGGAAGACGGCGAACUCCGCUCCGCCCGACCCCAGGGCUCGGACUCGGGCUAAGACCCGGAAGACGGCGAACUCCGCUCCGCCCGACCCCAGGGCUCGGACUCGGGCUAAGACCCGGAAGACGGCGAACUUUGCUCCGCCCGACCCCAGGGCUCGGACUCGGGCUAAGACCCGAAAGACGGCGAACUCCGCUCCGCCCGACCCCAGGGCUCGGACUCGGGCUCGGCCCCGGAAGACGACGAACUCCGCCUCGCCCGACCCCAGGGCUCGGACUCCGCCCUGGCCUCUGCCGAACGACUUCCGCCUCGCCCGACCCAGGGGCUCGGACUCGGCCUCGGCAACGGAAGACAGAUUCGACCCCAGAUUCGGAGGAGCCCCCACGUCGCCUGGCCUCGGGCGCGGGCCCGCCACGUCAACAGGGAGCGCCAUCACCACUCUACCCCGAGCCGACUCGGGCUGCAGAGAACAAGACCGAUGUCCCAUCUGGCCAGCUCCGCCAGAUAGACAAUGAUGGCGCCUCCCAAGCUCUAUGACGGCGGCGGCUCUCAGCUCUCUUACGGAAGCAGGUGGACGUCAGCAAGGACUCGACCGCUCCGACAGCUGUCCUUCCGCCAAGCUCCGUCGCUCCUCCGACAGCCACGACAUCACACCAGCAGGGUGCCAAGAUCUCUCCGGCUGCCACAUUGGCAUGUACUUAGGGCGCUAGCUCUCCCUCCGCUAGACACGUAGCACUCUGCUACACCCCCAUUGUACACCUGGAUCCUCUCCUUACGACUAUAAAAGGAAGGACCAGGGCCUUCUUAGAGGAGGUUGGCCGCGCGGGACCGAGGACGGGACAGGCGCUCUCUUGGGGCCGCUCGCUUCCCUCACCCGCGUGGACGCUUGUAACCCCCCUACUGCAAGCGCACCCGACCUGGGCGCGGGACGAACGCGAAGGCCGCGGGACUUCCACCUCUCUCACGCCCGUCUCCGGCCACCUCGCCUCUCCCCCCUUCGCGCUCGCCCACGCGCUCGACCCAUCUGGGCUGGGGCACGCAGCACACUCACUCGUCGGCUUAGGGACCCCCCGGUCUCGAAACGCCGACAGUUGGCGCGCCAGGUAGGGGCCUGCUGCGUGUUGACGAACAGCUUCCCGUCAAGCUCCAGAUGGGCAGUCUCCAGCAACCUCUCCGACCCGGGACGGUGCUCCGUUUCGGGAGUCUUGAGUUCAUGUCCUUCGACGGCAGCUACGACAUGAUACUCCUUCCACCGCCGUGCGACAACGACAAUGGCGGCCGACAACCCGCCCGCCGGCAGCGGAAUCGACGACAUCUUCCCCGCGUGGUGGAAGAACAACAUUCGGGCUCGCUCCGUGCUCUCCCCCGCCAACGGAGGAGGAGGCGGGGCAACCAAGGCCAAGCGGGAGGCCGCGCUUCGUCGGCCGUCGAGCGAAUCGACGCCCCCGACGCCCAGACGGAAGGCACGCCAGGCGUCGACCUCGCGUUCGAGACGAAGGCAAGCGCCGUCCCCCCGCGACACGCUGAUCCCGAGCAAGAAGACGACGUCAGCGCGCUCGCGGAAAGCUUGCAGGACGUCGCCCUUGUACCUGAGAUGACGGCGCAACCAGUCCCCGAUGUGACUACGUCGCUCCGCGUCGACCAAAAGGUACUGACUAAUCCCCAUCUUACGUCAUUUCGACUCGGCCUCAACCCGCCUAGCAACCUUGCUUUGGCGGGCGCUCUCAUUGAGGCGAGUGCAACCCCACUGGGGUUUCGUAUGCGGUCGCCUUGGGACCGGUUGACGGACGUCUCAACCUACGGGCCCUCUGGGUCCGAGGAAGAUGACGAUCCCAGCAUCUGUUGGGAUUUCUCUGGACUUGGCAACCCCAGUGCCAUGCGGGACUUCAUGACCGCAUGUAACUACUGCCUCUCCUACUGUUCCGACGGAAGCCGCAGCCUUAACUACGAGGACUGCGGCCCAAGCCGCGAAUGUUUCCACAUCGAGCUAGGGGAUCCCUCCGAAGGAAACCAUCUCGGCAUGCCGGAGGACGGAGAUCUUCCUAGGCCGGUGCCUCGCGCCGACAUCCCGCGGGAGCUAGCUGUGGUCCCCGUUCCGGCGGGGGGUCACGACCCACAACUCGAGCAAGUCCGCGGGGCGCAGGCCAGGCUCAACGAGGGAACAGGAGCGCUUGAGCCGAUCCGUCGGGACGUCGGACAGGUAUGGGCGGGCCAACCCCCGGCCGGAGAAAUACGUCACCUGCCCCAAGGUCUCCAGCACUGCGUCGCCAACGAUGUCAGGGUCAGGCCGCCGCCCGCAUCCAGCGGGGUUGGUCAGAACCUGGCAGCCGCAGCGAUGCUCCUCCGCGCGAUGCCGGAGCCAUCAACUACCGAGGGUCGGCGGAUCCAGGGAGAGCUCAAGAAUCUCCUGGAAGGCGCUGCGGCCCGACGGGCCGAGAGCACUGCCUCCCGAAGGCAGGGAUACCCCUCGGAACCUCAUGCCGCGACUUCCCGAUUCAUGCGGGAAGCCUCGGUCUACAUCGGACGCACGCGCAACACCGCGCCUGCGGCCCCGGGCCACCUCGGCAACGAGCACCAUCGACAUGACCGUCGGGCCCACCUCGACGAAAGGGUGCGCCGAGGCUACCACCCCAGGCGUGGGGGGCGCUACGACAGCGGGGAGGAUCGGAGUCCCUCGCCCGAACCACCCGGUCCGCAGGCCUUCAGUCGGGCCAUCCGACGGGCGCCGUUCCCGACCCGGUUCCGACCCCCGACUACCAUCACAAAGUACUCGGGGGAAACGAGACCGGAACUGUGGCUCGCGGACUACCGCCUGGCCUGCCAACUGGGUGGAACGGACGACGACAACCUCAUCAUCCGAAACCUCCCCCUGUUCCUCUCCGACACUGCUCGCGCCUGGUUGGAGCACCUGCCUCCGGGGCAGAUCUCCAGCUGGGACGACUUGGUCCAAGCCUUCGCCGGCAAUUUCCAGGGCACAUAUGUGCGCCCCGGGAAUUCCUGGGACCUUCGAAGCUGCCGGCAACAGCCAGGAGAGUCGCUCCGGGACUACAUCCGGCGAUUCUCGAAGCAGCGCACCGAGCUGCCCAACAUCACCGACUCGGAUGUCAUCGGCGCGUUCCUUGCCGGCACUACUUGUCGUGACCUGGUGAGCAAGUUGGGUCGCAAAACCCCCACCAGGGCGAGCGAGCUGAUGGACAUCGCUACCAAGUUCGCCUCUGGCCAGGAGGCGGUCGAGGCUAUCUUCCGAAAGGACAAGCAGCCCCAGGGCCGCCCAUCGGAAGAGGCUCCCGAGGCGUCUACUCCGCGCGGCGCCAAGAAGAAGGGCAAGAAGAAGUCGCAAUCGAAACGCGACGCCGCCGACGCGGACCUUGUCGCCGCCGCCGAGUACAAGAACCCUCGGAAGCCCCCCGGAGGUGCAAACCUCUUCGACAAGAUGCUCAAGGAGCCGUGCCCCUAUCAUCAGGGGCCCGUCAAGCACACUCUCGAGGAGUGCGCCAUGCUUCGGCGCCACUUCCACAGGGCCGAGCCACCCGUAGAGGGUGGCAGGGCCCACGACGACGACAAGAAAGAAGAUCACCAAGCAGGAGAAUACCCCGAGGUCCGCGACUGCUUCAUGAUCUACGGUGGGCAUGCGGCGAAUGCCUCGGCUCGGCAUCGCAAGCAAGAGCGCCGGGAGGUCUGCUCGGUGAAGGUGGCGGCGCCAGUCUACCUAGACUGGUCCGACAAGCCCAUCACCUUCGACCAGGCUGACCACCCCGACCACGUGCCGAGCCCGGGGAAAUACCCGCUCGUCGUCGACCCCGUCAUCGGCAACGUCAGGCUCACCAAGGUCCUGAUGGAUGGGGGCAGCUGCCUCAACGUCAUCUACGCCGAGACCCUCAAGCUCCUGCGCGUCGAUCUGUCCUCCAUCCGAGCAGGUGCUGCGCCCUUCCACGGGAUCAUCCCUGGGAAGCGCGUCCAGCCCCUCGGACGACUCGACCUCCCCGUCUGCUUCGGAACGCCCUCCAACUUCCGAAGGGAGACCUUGACGUUCGAGGUGGUCGGGUUCCGAGGAACCUACCACGCGGUACUGGGAAGGCCACGCUACGCGAAGUUCAUGGCCGUCCCCAACUACACCUACCUGAAGCUCAAGAUGCCGGGCCCCAACGGGGUCAUCACCGUCGGUCCCACGUACAAACACGCAUUCGAAUGCGACGUGGAGUGCGUGGAGUACGCCGAGGCCCUCGCCGAGUCCGAGGCCCUCAUCGCCGACCUGGAGAACCUCUCCAAAGAGGUGCCAGAUGUGAAGCGUCAUGCCGGCAACUUCGAGCCAGCGGAGACGGUUAAGGCCGUCCCUCUCGACCCCCGUGGCGACACCUCCAAGCAGAUCCGGAUCGGUUCCGGGCUCGACCCCAAAUAGGAAGCAGUGCUCGUCGACUUUCUCCGCGCAAACGCCGACGUCUUUGCGUGGAGUCCCUCGGACAUGCCUGGCAUACCGAGGGAUGUCGUCGAGCACUCGCUGGAUAUUCGGGCCGGAGCCCGACCCGUCAGACAGCCUCUGCGCCGAUUCGACGAGGAGAAGCGCAGAGCGAUAGGCGAGGAGAUCCACAAGCUAAUGGCAGCAGGGUUCAUCAAAGAGGUAUUCCAUCCCGAAUGGCUUGCCAACCCUGUGCUUGUGAGGAAGAAAGGGGGGAAAUGGCGGAUGUGCGUAGACUACACUGGUCUCAACAAAGCAUGUCCGAAGGUUCCCUACCCUCUGCCUCGCAUCGAUCAAAUCGUGGAUUCCACUGCUGGGUGCGAAACCCUGUCCUUCCUUGAUGCCUACUCAGGGUAUCACCAAAUCCGGAUGAAAGAGUCCGACCAGCUCGCGACUUCUUUCAUCACGCCGUUCGGCAUGUACUGCUAUGUCACCAUGCCGUUCGGUUUGAGGAAUGCGGGCGCGACGUACCAGCGGUGCAUGAACCAUGUGUUCGGCGAACACAUCGGUCGCACAGUCGAGGCCUACGUCGAUGACAUCGUAGUCAAGACAAGGAAGGCUUCCGACCUCCUCUCCGACCUUGAAGUGACAUUUCGAUGUCUCAAGGCGAAAGGAGUCAAGCUCAAUCCUGAGAAGUGUGUCUUCGGGGUGCCCCGAGGCAUGCUCCUGGGGUUCAUCGUCUCCGAGCGAGGCAUCGAAGCCAACCCGGAGAAGAUCGCAGCCAUCACCAGCAUGGGACCCAUCAAGGACUUAAAAGGCGUACAUAGGGUCAUGGGAUGUCUUGCGGCCCUGAGCCGCUUCAUCUCACGCCUCGGCGAAAGAGGUCUGCCUUUGUACCGCCUCUUAAGGAAGGCCGAGUGUUUCGCUUGGACCCCUGAGGCCGAGGAAGCCCUCGGGAACCUGAAGGCGCUCCUUACAAAGGCGCCUGUCUUGGUGCCCCCAGCUGAUGGAGAAGCCCUCUUGGUCUACGUCGCCGCUACCACUCAGGUGGUUAGCGCCGCGAUUGUAGUCGAGAGGCAAGAAGAAGGGCAUGCAUUGCCCGUUUAGAGGCCAGUCUACUUCGUCAGCGAAGUACUGUCCGAGACCAAGAUCCGCUACCCACAAGUUCAGAAGCUGUUGUAUGCUGUGAUCCUGACAAGGCGGAAGUUACGACACUACUUCGAAUCUCAUCCGGUAACUGUGGUGUCAUCCUUCCCCCUGGGGGAGAUCAUCCAGUGCCGAGAAGCCUCGGGCAGGAUCGCAAAGUGGGCGGUGGAAAUCAUGGGCGAAACAAUCUCGUUCGCCCCUCGGAAGGCCAUCAAGUCCCAGGUGUUGGCGGACUUCGUGGCCGAAUGGGUCAACACCCAGCUACCGACGGCUCCGAUCCAACCGGAGCUCUGGACCAUGUUUUUCGACGGGUCGCUGAUGAAGACGGGAGCCGGCGCGGGCCUGCUCUUCAUCUCGCCCCUUGGGAAGCACCUACGCUACGUGCUCCGCCUCCAUUUCCCGGCGUCCAACAAUGUGGCCGAGUACGAGGCUCUGGUCAACGGGUUGCGGAUCGCCAUCGAGCUAGGGGUCAGACGCCUCGACGCCCGCGGUGACUCGCAGCUCGUCAUCGACCAAGUCAUGAAGAACUCCCACUGCCGCGACCCGAAGAUGGAGGCCUACUGCGAUGAGGUUCGGCGCCUGGAAGACAAGUUCUUCGGGCUCGAGCUCAACCACAUCGCUCGGCGCUACAACGAGACUGCAGACGAGCUGGCUAAAAUAGCCUCGGGGCGAACGACGGUCCCCCCGGACGUCUUCUCCCGGGAUCUGCAUCAACCUUCCGUCAAGAUCGACGACGCUCCCGAGCCCGAGGCACCCUCGGCACAGCCCGAGGUACCCUCGGCACAGCCCGAGGCACCCUCGGCACAACCCGAGGUACCCUCGGCCCCCGAGGGCGAGGCGCUGCACGUCGAGGAAGAGCAGAGCGGGGCCACGCCUGAUUGAAAUUGGCAGGCCCCGUACCUGCGAUAUCUCCGCCAGGGAGAGCUACCCCUCGACCAAGCCGAGGCUCGGCAGGUAGCUCGACGCGCCAAGUCGUUCGUCUUGCUGGGCGAUGAGGGGGAGCUCUACCACCGCAGCCCCUCGGGCGUCCUCCAGCGAUGCAUCUCCAUCGCCGAAGGUCAGGAACUCCUGCAAGAAAUACACUCGGGGGCUUGCGGCCAUCAUGCAGCACCCCGAGCCCUUGUCGGGAAUGCUUUCCGGCAAGGCUUCUACUGGCCAACGGCGGUGGCUGACGCCACUAGAAUUGUCCGCACCUGCGAAGGGUGCCAAUUCUAUGCGAAGCAGACCCGCCUGCCCGCUCAGGCUCUGCAGACGAUACCCAUCACCUGGCCCUUUGCUGUAUGGGGUCUGGACCUCGUCGGUCCCUUGCAGAAGGCGCCCGGGGGCUACACGCACCUGCUGGUCGCCAUCGACAAAUUCUCCAAGUGGAUCGAGGUCCGACCCCUGAACAGCAUCAGGUCCGAGCAGGCGGUGGCGUUCUUCACCAACAUCAUCCAUCGCUUCGGGGUCCCAAACUCCAUCAUCACCGACAACGGUACCCAGUUCACCGGCAAAAAAUUCUUGGAUUUUUGCGAAGAUCACCACAUCCGGGUGGACUGGGCCGCCGUGGCUCAUCCCAUGUCGAAUGGGCAAGUGGAGCGUGCCAACGUCAUGAUUCUGCAAGGGCUCAAGCCCCGGAUCUACAACGGCCUCAACAAGUUCGGCAAGCGAUGGAUGAAGGAACUCCCCUCGGUGGUCUGGAGCCUGAGGACAACGCCAAGCCGGGCCACGGGUUUCACGCCGUUCUUCCUGGUCUAUGGGGCCGAGGCCAUCUUGCCCACUGACCUGGAAUACGGCUCCCCGAGGGCGAGGGCCUACAAACGAACAAAGCAACCAAGCUAGCCGAGAAGACUCGCUGGACCAGCUGGAGGAGGCUCGGGACAAGGCCUUACUACACUCGGCGCGGUACCAGCAGUCCCUGCGAUGCUACCACGCCCGAGGGGUCCGGUCCCGAGACCUCCAGGUGGGCGAUCUGGUGCUUCGGCUGCGGCAAGACGCCCGAGGGAGGCACAAGCUCACGCCCCCCUGGGAGGGGCCAUUCGUCAUCGCCAAAAUCCUGAAGCCCGGAACAUACAAGCUGGCCAAUAAUCAAGGCGAGAUCUACGGCAACGCCUGGAACAUCAAACAGCUACGUCGCUUCUACCCUUAAGAUGCUUUCAAGUUGUUCGUAUACUUCGCACCCAUGCAAAGUUUAGUCAUCAAGGAAGGGUCGGCCUCGCCUCGGCAGAGCCCGACCCUCCCUCGGGGGCUAAAAGGGGGGAGACCCCCUCUGCGUCAAAUUUUUCCCUCGAAAAAAGAUCUCUUUUUAGCAGAAUUUCUUUCGUGCUUUUUGACUACUUCGAAAAGCGGAUCCUGGAAACGACGGAGUACACGAAAGCAGCCAAGGCUGACCGAGCCGAGGGACUCCUACGCCUCCGGGAUACGGAUACCUCACUCAUCACCUUCUGCGAUAAGUAACUCGUGUUCGGAUAAAGCGACUCCGUGGACCGAACAAGUCUUCACGUUCGGAAGCUCUUCUGCCAAAGUGGUCCUUCAAGCUUUCUCGACUAAGUCGGAGACAGGGCCUCAUGGACGGGCGAAGGUACGCGUAAGCGGCAAGGCUGACCGAGCCGAGGGACUCCUACGCCUUCGGGAUACGGAUACCUCACUCAUCACCUUCCGCGAGAAGCAACUCUCGCCCGCACAAACAUCCCUGUUACCGACGGAAAGUCCAGAUGCUCGGAAUAAGGGGAAAGGAGACGCAGCUUUGCAAGCGCAGCGAGGGUGUGUUUUCUGGCCUCAGCGGCCGCAGAAGGCACACGCUACAAGACGAUCUGAUCCUGCAGGCUCAGGUCUUCACGCUGAAGGGGGCCGUAGCACCCUCGGCGUCGACGACGUCUUCAGCAAGGUCUGACCCAGCCUCGGACGGCGGCGCGGUCCAGGGACUUCUCCGGGAAUCCGGCCCGAGCAGGCGGCUCGGCCGGCUACCCCCGGGGCCUCGGCCAACCAUCUUCCAAGGGCGCUAGCCCGACCCGAGGCCUCGGCUGAUCGACUCCGGCGUCAGAUCCGCUGACGGACAACCCGGCUAGGCUCCGGCCAACCAGGUUCCCAUUUUCGAGCCAACUCCGCCUCUGUUCGUACUGAUAUCGCUACCCCUGGCCUCGGCUCGUCGAAGAGCGGCCGAGGGGUCUCUUUAACUAAGCUAGAGGAGCCUCAGACAACAAGGCCGAUCGAGCCGAGGGAUUACUACGCCUCCGGGAUACGGAUACCUCACUCGUCACCUUGACACGGGGCGACUCAUGCUUGGUGAAGCGGUACAGAUAAUCAACAGGCGAGACUUAGUGCUCGAAAAUGAGGAAAAAACACGGCUCCGUGCCGAAAUUACAUACAUGUUCAGGCCUCGACAGCCACAAUGAACAUAAAACACUGGCAUUCAAGGUGCCAUCACAAACGGAACUCCGGUUCCGUCCCCGCGGGUACGAGCGACCUCGGGCCUGUGGGGGACGAACAUCGGGAGGCUCGCCAGCGACCUCUGCAACAGCAGCCAUGGUCCCGGGUGGACGCGGCCACCGGAGGGCUCUUGUUCGUGAUCCCGCUCAAGGGACGCGAACAAGCCAUCAAAGCCAAAGAGCGGGCCGCUCCUAAGCGCUCCGGCAGAUCCUCGCUGCCGUCCUCGCCGCGAACGCGAGGGAAAGGGCGGAAUGUUGCAUCCUAGCUGGACAGCAACAGUUCGCCUUCCCCGGCAUGACUGGAGGACGCCUCCGUCGCAGCGCGGGAGGACGAUUGCCACCACCAGAAGCUGGAAGAGGAGGUGGUUCGCCAACCCGCUCAGGAGGUAGAGCCCCGGCUCGCCUCGCUCCCCGCCCCAGCGAGGAUGACGAACACGCCCGAUGCUGGGGACGGGAUCACAGCCUGGUUUGCCUCUCCCCAUCCAGGAGCUGGAGGUCACCGUCUAGGGUGACCACCGGCGGAGGGGAGCAACCAGGCUGUGUGAUGAAAAUCCUUGAAGCCGAACGAUGGCUGAAAGGUACCAACUCCCAUGGAGUUGCGUUCCUCCAACGAGAAGGCGGAAAGACGGUGGGUACCCCCCAUCCGGGGGCUUGGAAGAUGGAAAGACACGACGCAUGAGGGAGGAAGAAGAUGUGGUUGCCUUUCGAAAGGGGUCGCCCUCCUUUUAAAGGCAACUCUCCCUACGUGCGCCCCCAAACGCCGCGGGCUGAGUCUUCUCCAACACGCUCCAAGGCCCACCCCUGCGACUCGGGGGCUGGGUCCCGCAUGUCAUGCAGACCGGCUCCGAGCAGAAGAAGCCAAACCGCCGCGCGUGGUGCGCACAACCGCCCAGCGGUUACAAGCGACCCCCACUUUUGCCCAGACCAACGGGCGGGAGGGGCGAGUAGCCAUGCAGGCGGCAUGCAACCGCGCCAGGUGGACGCGCUUCUCCGACUUCUGACACGCCAGCUUGGAGGCUCAGGCCCACGCGUCACGCAACCAGCGCGCCAGUUGCUGCAUGCAAGCAACCGCGCCACCACUUGUGCCACCGUCGCGCCUCUUCGGUUGCGGAGCCUAUGCCGCGACUCGAGGCGACCCAGCGCACGACCCAGCGGCGCCAGCCUGGCGCGACGGUCAAUGCGGCCGAAAGUGGGCCGGCAGUAAUGACGGUGGCAGGCGGACGGGAGCAGCAGUCACGUCGUCAGCCAGGCUCACGUCCCAUCCAGGGACAGCAAGAGAGCCUCCUCCCACGGCGUGAAGACGGUGCGCCCGUGAUCCGUUCCUCGAACGGCUCGCGCACGCGCAACGGCCGCCCCGCCAACCACUCGCCCCGUCGCAUUAACUCCGCGGCAGAUAGGGCGGCGCUUCUGGCAGGAGAAGCGGACGACGCUUCGCCUUCGCCGUAAUAACCGCGCCAAAAAAGGUACGCCACGUCGUUCGAUUUCGUAUCCUUUUCCUUUUUUUCCUCUUUCUCUAUCUCUUACAACAGGGACCGGGAAAGGGGGAUACCCCGAAAAGGAUCCUUCCCUGUGAAGGAACCGGGCUCCGAGCCCCCCUACUGAUCAGAGGUUCGAAGGCUGGCCCUCCGAAGGGUUCAACAGUCGCCUCAGAUCGCGUGGGCCCGACACCCACUACUGGUCAGGGGUUCGAAGGCCGGCCCCCCGAAGGGCUCCACGGCCGCCUCAGGCUACUCGGGCUCCGCACCCAUUACUGAUCAGAGGUUCGAAGGCUGGCCCCCGAAGGGUUCACAGGCGCCUCAGACGCCGAGCGAGGGAUGACCAGGGGUACGUUCGAUACAUAACCGAGGCUCGGGCUGCGCUCCCGAGGUACCCUAGGACAUUUCCGAGACCAGCGGGAGCGAUCUUGUAACGGAAUCCCAUCGGAGGGAGGCAUCGAGCCCUCGGACCCCGUCGCCAGGGGACCGGGUCCAGCAGAUCACCCGCAGGUACUUUUGGGCGUGCCUCUGGGCCCCUAGCCGACCCCCAACGAACGGGGCACGGACGUCCACUCGGAUUACCCGCUUGCAGCUCACCGGAGACACCAUGUUCGGUGCCCAUCGAGGGUAACAUGGCGCACUCCCCCCUCCUCCUUGCGGAAAGGUGACGUAGGGGCGUAUGCAAAAAGUCGAGUCUGUCCCUGAUCGUCCUCUCGCCCUGUGCGGAGGCUCGGGGGCUGCUCUCGCAAACCCGGCUCCGGCCGAACCGUUGACAGCGUCAACAUACCAGCCCGAGAACUUGGGCCCCGACCGUGCACCCGGGCUACGGCCAGUUCGCAUGAGGGAACGACCAGACCAGCCGAAGCGUUACGCAAGGCAUUAAGACCUCGAAGGAGUGAAACCACUCCUCCGAGGCCUCGGGGGCUACACCCAGCGGGUGCGCUCGUGCGCACCCACCGGAAUGAAAUGCAACCGAGGAAGGCUGGUCCCCUUGCAAAAAGUGCGACGAAAGCCUCCAAGCGAGUGCUAACACUCCCUUCGAGGCUCAGGGGCUACUAUCGGGGACCAUAAUUAGGGGUACCCUCAAGACGCCUAAUUCUCAGCUCGUAACCCCCAUCAGCAUAAAGCUGCAAAGGCCUGAUGGGUGCGAUUAAGUCAGGGAUCAGUCCAUACGAGUGACUCGAUCACGCUUCACCCGAGCCUAGCCUCGGACUCGGGCAGCCGACCUCGAGGGACUUCCGUCUCGCCCGAGGCCCCCCUUUUAACGGCGGACACAUCUCCGGCUCGCCCGAGGCCUUGGCUUCACUAAGAAGCAACCCUGACUAAAUCGCCGCACCGACUGACCGAGUUGCAGGGGCAUUUAACGCAAAGGUGGCCUGACACCUCUAUCCUGACGCACGCCCCCCGGCAGAGCCGAAGUGACCGCCGUCACUCCGCUGCUCCACUGACCGGUCUGACAGAAGGACAGCGCCGCCUGCGCCACUCCGACUGCGGUGCCACUCGACAGAGUGAGUCUGACAGGCAGUCAGGCCUCGCCAGGGGCGCCAUAGCGAACUCCGCUCCGCCCGACCCCAGGGCUCGGACUCGGGCUAAGACCCGGAAGACGGCGAACUCCGCUCCGCCCGACCCCAGGGCUCGGACUCGGGCUAAGACCCGGAAGACGGCGAACUCCGCUCCGCCCGACCCCAGGGCUCGGACUCGGGCUAAGACCCGAAAGACGGCGAACUCCGCUCCGCCCAACCCCAGGGCUCGGACUCGGGCUAAGACCCGGAAGACGGCGAACUCCGCUCCGCCCGACCCCAGGGCUCGGACUCUGGCUAAGACCUGGAAGACGGCGAACUCCGCUCCGCCCGACCCCAGGGCUCGGACUCGGGCUAAGACCCGGAAGACGGCGAACUCUGCUCCGCCCGACCCCAGGGCUCGGACUCGGGCUAAGACCCGGAAGACGGCGAACUCCGCUCCGCCCGACCCCAGGGCUCGGACUCGGGCUCGGCCCCGGAAGACGACGAACUCCGCCUCGCCCGACCCCAGGGCUCGGACUCCGCCCUGGCCUCUGCCGAACGACUUCCGCCUCGCCCGACCCAGGGGCUCGGACUCGGCCUCGGCAACGGAAGACAGAUUCGACCCCAGAUUCGGAGGAGCCCCCACGUCGCCUGGCCUCGGGCGCGGGCCCGCCACGUCAACAGGGAGCGCCAUCACCACUCUACCCCGAGCCGACUCGGGCUGCAGAGAACAAGACCGGUGUCCCAUCUGGCCAGCUCCACCAGAUAGACAAUGAUGGCGCCUCCCAAGCUCUAUGACGGCGGCGGCUCUCAGCUCUCUUACGGAAGCAGGUGGACGUCAGCAAGGACUCGACCGCUCCGACAGCUGUCCUUCCGCCAAGCUCCGUCGCUCCUCCGACAGCCACGACAUCACACCAGCAGGGUGCCAAGAUCUCUCCGGCUGCCACAUUGGCAUGUACUUAGGGCGCUAGCUCUCCCUCCGCUAGACACGUAGCACUCUGCUACACCCCCAUUGUACACCUGGAUCCUCUCCUUACGACUAUAAAAGGAAGGACCAGGGCCUUCUUAGAGGAGGUUGGCCGCGCGGGACCGAGGACGGGACAGGCGCUCUCUUGGGGCCGCUCGCUUCCCUCACCCGCGUGGACGCUUGUAACCCCCCUACUGCAAGCGCACCCGACCUGGGCGCGGGACGAACACGAAGGCCGCGGGACUUCCACCUCUCUCACGCCCGUCUCCGGCCACCUCGCCUCUCCCCCCUUCGCGCUCGCCCACGCGCUCGACCCAUCUGGGCUGGGGCACGCAACACACUCACUCGUCGGCUUAGGGACCCCCCGGUCUCGAAACACCGACAAGUAAUUUCUUGGGAUGUACUGCCUUCAUGGUGCUUGUGCAAGACCUUAUUGAAUUAGAAAGUUAGUUAAAUGUGUUCUAUCACCUUUGCCAAGUUUUGAGUGUUAAAAAGUGACAGGUCUAAGUGUAGUAACCUAUCGAUGUUAUGCUUUAGCUUAAGGCUAAUUGUGUUAAAUGUGUUGUUUCUUGAUGUUGCGUUGGUUCAUUUAAUUUAGAGAACCGUAAUUAUUGUGUUUAAUCGUAUGUCGAUAACUAGUGUCUUCGUAGAAAGGGGUACGACGCUUCGCCGCUAGGUGUUUAAUUCGAUAUCGCAUAACACUAUUUAGGUUUGUAAUAUUCCUGUUUAUAUGCACUCAUGUGCAUCAUGCAUCUCAAUUAGGUACGAUAAUUGAUCGCGUGAUGCGGAAGACGAACCAAGUCGACCCCAAGCGCGGGCUACUCCGCAUGGAGAUGCUGAUGCACGAAUCUGCCUGAUCAAGUGCUAGGACAAGGAUGAUCGUCAAGUGGACGUCACCUAACAACACUAACCUAGUGUUACCCAGGCAAGCCCCGGUGCAUUUGCCACCUCCUUGUUGUUUUAAAACUUUUAUCACUUAUAUGCUGCAAUAGGUGAUAGGAGUUGAGUGAAGAAACAAUUGAUGCAUUGCCAUUCCUUGGAAUUCGAUUACUAUUCCUUGAUACCUGUUUUAUAAAGAGAACUAAUGAGGCUUAGCCCUGCUUAGAAACUAAAAGUUGUUUCUUUUAAAAAGAAUGUUGUGCAACACUGGAUAUGGGUUUUAUGAAAAAGGAACUUGUAAUAAUGAAGGCAUCACUCGCGAUGAUGAAUUCAUUAUUCGAGUAUUGUACCUCUGUCAGGUACAUGGUUUGGGUGUUAAAUAAUAAGAUGAGACCAGACGUUGAGCAGGAAAGGUCGCCCGUCUGUGUCGAUUAAGGACCGUUCCGAUUGUUGGCCUGCUGAUCUAGGACCCUUUAACUGGCCACAUGCCUCAUCAUGGGUAAGCUUAGCCUCGGCUGGACCAAUACCAGAAAGGCCGGCCCGCAAUGGGAGUGGAGAGAUGGCGAGAGUAUCGUGUAUCCACCUGGCAAGAGGCUGGAUGGUGGGGUACUGAGCUCUCGGUUGGCGGGGACCCGUUCUGGUCUUGAGAAACCCGGUGGCGAGUUGACAUAUGCAAGGGUUAAGUGCUACAUAUGUCGUGUGGUUGGAGAUCCCCAGCUGGGUAUUAAUCGAUUCGGAUCGCCGAACUUCUCGGAUAUGAAGACUGGAUCUUCGACCCUCAUCGUAGAUAACAAGUGAAACUAAAGCUGCUAAAAUGAAGCUAGUGUAGGACAAGUGAAUGCUCUAGAUUAGGCAAAUCUAGAUUCAGGAAAAGUACUUAAUCUGUGAAGUAAAACUUUGGCAUAAGGAUCCACUACUAGUAAGCUUUUCUGCAAAAACGAGUCUUUGAAAUUUGAUGAGCUUUAUCUUGAUUCCCAACAAACCAGCAUACCCUUGAGAGUCUUUUCUUUAGUCGGGUAAGUCUUGCUGAGUAAUUGCAUACUCAGGGUUUUAUUCCCUGUUGUUUUUCAGGUUAUAAUUUUGUUCUGUUGUGGAUGGUGCUAAGUGCCGGUGGGCUCGGCCUUCUUAUAUAAGUAUAUCCCAUCUUUAGCUUCUUUAUUGAGGAUUGUCACUUAAGCUAGCAUGUAUUUUAAAAACUUAUAAAUAUUUUAUACAUUUUAAAGUGUAAUUCUGUUGAAUCAUUUUCUUUUGUAAUCACUCCAAUAAUUGUAUAAUGUAAACUUAUUGUAACAUGUAAUUAUUUUGCAAUAAAGAAUUUAUUUCCGCUGCAAAUAUUGGUGUGUGAUUUGUGUUUACUUAAUCUUGCGAUCUUGGCGGUAAGUCGUUUAUCCGGGGUCCUCGGGGCACUCGGACAGAUCCUGUUAAGAUGUUUGGUGCACACGCAUAGCUGUCUGAGGUUUUUGAGACGAGGACAGAUGCGUGUGGGCCCGAUAACUUGGGAGGUUCUGCGACAGCUGGUAUCGGAGCUGGAUUAAGUAUAUACGGUCACAUACAUAUUUUCAAAAUAAAAGUUUUGGUUUUGAAAAACCUAUUUUCAACUAAACACAUUGUUUGGCUUUGAAAAACUAUAAUGCUAGCGACAUCCUCUAUUAAGCCCUAAAUUAAGGACUACCUGGUGGCUUAGUUGAAAACCAUAACCGGGUGGAUAUUGCAUACAUGUGUAUUGUUAUUUUUGAAAGCCAUUCAGUCUUGAAUGGAUCGACGCUCAAGGUAAGGUGAGAUGUGAGAGCAUGACCGAACAACCGUCGGUCUAGGGAAGUGCUUAAUUGUGGCGCUUGAUUAUAUACAUGUUUUACAUAUGUAUAUAUGAAGGCUGCGAUGUGGAGUAUUUACUUUUCGGGAAUUCAGUACCCCAUUGAUGUGUAUGGGUAUACAGACAUGGGAAUACUGAGAAGUGUAAUGUACUUGUAACG
RNAcentral lists this long non-coding RNA (17920 nucleotides) under Zea mays. RNAcentral describes it as "long non-coding RNA (ZMAY_LNC004953)". Lineage: Eukaryota; Viridiplantae; Streptophyta; Magnoliopsida; Poales; Poaceae. The record is from RNAcentral.